This is a long non-coding RNA of Myotis daubentonii (Daubenton's bat), 545 nucleotides long. RefSeq lists it as uncharacterized. The record is from RefSeq and is a predicted model, not a curated record. The transcript is spliced from 3 exons. NCBI's taxonomy places the organism in Eukaryota, Metazoa, Chordata, Mammalia, Chiroptera, Vespertilionidae.
CACAAUUUAGUACAGAAAGUUCCUCUUGAGAACGUGAUGAAAGAAAUGGUUCCUCUCUCCAGAAACGACCCAUUUAUAAUGAAUGCGAGAUUUUGUAUUGAGCUUGCUGUUCACAGAUCCCUGGAAGUCUACUCACUAUCUUCCUAAAACUCUUUACAUUCUGAAAUCAGAAUCCCCUUCUGAAAGGCAGACUUGAAAACACGUACAAGGGAUAGCCUUUUAGCAAGAACGAAAACUGAAGAUGUGAUAACUCAGCUUUAUACUAACUUUUAGGUUCCAUGCUGACCUGCAAAGCUGCCAUGAAAACUGUGAUUCAACAACAGAGAGGAUCUAUUGUUAAUGUAGGAACUAUUAUUGGUUUAAAAGGCAAUGCUGGUCAGUCUGUGUACAGUGCUAGUAAAGAAGGAAUCCGGAUUUUCACGUGCUCUUGCUAAAGAAUAGUAAGAAGGAAAAUGACAGUGAAUGUAGUUGCUCCAGGUCAGUGAAAACUUCUUUUUUCUUUUUAAACAUAAUUUAUGCAUGUUUAUGGUUUUAUAUAAUAAUUG